GGAGGGCUAGCCUAAUGGUAAGGCACCGGUCUUGAAAACCGGCGCGCAGAGAUGCGCAUGUGGGUUCGAGUCCCACGUCCUCCG
RNAcentral lists this transfer RNA (84 nucleotides) under Gemmatimonadaceae bacterium. RNAcentral describes it as "tRNA-Ser". It matches the Rfam family "tRNA". Rfam says of the family: Transfer RNA (tRNA) molecules are approximately 80 nucleotides in length. The record is from RNAcentral. Lineage: Bacteria; Pseudomonadati; Gemmatimonadota; Gemmatimonadia; Gemmatimonadales; Gemmatimonadaceae.